AUUUUGUAUAGGUCACAUGUAUAAAACGCCAUGAAUCUAUUGAUCCUCCUCAUCGUUGCUGCAGCAUUCUUCUCUGGUGAUAGUUCUGCUCAGAGGCGGCAGAAUGGAAACCCGCACCUGGAAUGUACUAAGGAACCAUACCUCCAAUGUGACAUAGUGAAUUAUAGGAGGUUCCCUGUCCUGGAAUUCCUUCUGUCCAGGUUCGCAGCUCAAAAAACCAACUCAACCGACAAAAACAUAAAUAUUUGAAAAUAAUUAUGGUAUUCUUACCAGGUACGGAGCGCAAGAGAGCAAGGCAUCAGAAAAACUAUACUACAUUAAAAACAAAUAAUGUUUCUGGCUUGAAGGAAAAUAUUUUACGACUUUUUGGGUUUUUGUAUUGACUGAGUUCUAAUAAAUAAAUUGUUCCAUAGAA
Molecule: long non-coding RNA, 415 nt
Organism: Ostrinia nubilalis (European corn borer)
Lineage: Eukaryota; Metazoa; Arthropoda; Insecta; Lepidoptera; Crambidae
Exons: 2
Source: RefSeq, a predicted model, not a curated record